Gorilla gorilla gorilla (western lowland gorilla) is the source of this 929-nucleotide long non-coding RNA. RefSeq lists it as uncharacterized. The transcript has 3 exons. Lineage: Eukaryota; Metazoa; Chordata; Mammalia; Primates; Hominidae. The record is from RefSeq and is a predicted model, not a curated record.
UGCUUCAUAGAAUAUUGGAAUGGCCUUUUGGAAAUUCAGAGACAGCACCAACUACAUGGCGAUACCUUCCAGGACUGAAGUACUUUCCUCCAGGAGGCUGUAUGUGCUGUAAAUCUGCAUCUAGUGUAUGGUGCUGCUUCUCCCAUAGCCAGGAUUCAUGGGUCCAGGAAUCAAGGGGUGAAAAUGAGAAAAUCAAGGGAUGAAAAUGACUCCACUCACUCUUACUGCUGGGAAGCCACUAUCAGGAGUUUUGCUUGCCAUCCCCCUGAACUUUUGCAUUGUUGAUCUAGAAGUCUUAGUUCUAAAGUUAGGGGUGCUUCUACCAGAAGACAUCACAAUGAUUCCAUUGAAGCUAUUACCUGACCAUUGUAAGCUCCUCAUGUCUCUGAGUUCACAGGCAAAGAAGAGAGUUACUGUACUGGCUGGGAUUAUCAGUCCUAAUCAUCAAGGGGAAAUUAAACUGCUACUCCACAAAGGAGGUAACGGACACUAUGUUUAGAAUGCAGGAGGCCCUUAGGUUGGCAUCUCCUAGUACUCCCAUGUCCUGUGAUUAAAGCCAAUGGAAAACUAUAACAAACCUGAGAGUGGCCCAGACUCUUCAGAAAUGAAGGUUUGGAUCACUCCACCAGGCAAACAACCAUGACCAUCAGAGGUGCUGCUGACGGAAAAGGGAAUACGGAGUGCCUAGUGGGAGAAGGCAGUUACAAAUAUCAGCUACAAGUGUGUGACCAAUUGCAGAAACAAUGACUGUAAAUGUUAUUUUAUAGAUUCUUGCCGUUUAAGUCAAAUGCAUCAACAUAAGCCUUGGAGCAUUCCAUAGAAGAAAAAACAAGGAGAGCUUUACUACCAUGCAGUGCAAAGCAGGAGGCAGUGGGGGAGGAGAAGAAUUAAAAUUGGAGGUGUUUCAAGCGUCUGUACUACAUUAUGCC